ACGGGCUGCGGCGGGCAAGCACCGCGGGUCGGAGUGCCUCCAGAAAGAACCUGGACCCACGCUGCAGCAGGGAGUGGAGAAAUGAUGCAACGCCCAGGCCGCGCUGCGUGAACGGGAAGGGACUGCUAUGCACCAACCAAUCACCGGGCGCCGCAUAACACCCUGUAACAAACCGUCUUUUCAUUGGUCAUUUGGUGGCCGGGGUACGCCCACCUGUCCAAAUGGUGGAACUGCGGUACGAAUGUCAAGGAAUGCUGCUCAGCGUUAAAAAGGAACGCGCUACUGAUACACACCACAACAAGGAAGACUCUCACAACCCUGAGAGGCUGGAUCUCUUGCUUUGGGGGAAGCCAGCUGUCAUGUUGUGAGGCUCGUGAGGAACUAAGGCCUUCUGCCGACAGCCACGUUCAAUGAGCCUUCUUGGAAGGGGAUUUUCCACCCCAGUCAACCUUCACAUACUGCAGUACUGGUGACAACCUGACCGAAGCUCUUGGGAGAGUCUGAGCCAGAACUACCCAAUGAAGCUGCACCCAAAUUUCUGACUGACAGAAGUUUUAAGUUGGAGAUGCCAACAUAGUAUCAUGUGUCUACUUAAUCCAAGAAGCUCAUUCUUCAGCAGUAUCAUUUUCUAUCCCACAGUCCAGUCCAAUCGCUGUCCGAAGAGUUGGCUUUG
This is a long non-coding RNA of Loxodonta africana (African savanna elephant), 673 nucleotides long. RefSeq lists it as uncharacterized. The transcript has 3 exons. Lineage: Eukaryota; Metazoa; Chordata; Mammalia; Proboscidea; Elephantidae. The record is from RefSeq and is a predicted model, not a curated record.